UGAGGAACAUGACUUUCGGUGGGGGAGUAGCCGGCCCAACGGCCGGGUAAUACCGCGUACGACCUUUUGGGGACAUCCCCGAUGGGUGAAAGCAGCAAUGCGCCGAAAGAGUGCCUCGCGGCCUAUCAGCUAGUUGGUGGGGUAAUGGCUCACCAAGGCGACGACGGGUAGCUGGUCUGAGAGGAUGGCCAGCCACAUUGGGACUGAGACACGGCCCAGACUCCUACGGGAGGCAG
Molecule: ribosomal RNA, 236 nt
Filed under: uncultured bacterium
Lineage: Bacteria
Description: partial 16S ribosomal RNA
Rfam family: Bacterial small subunit ribosomal RNA
Source: RNAcentral